This 756-nucleotide ribosomal RNA is filed under the name Psychrobacter nivimaris. RNAcentral describes it as "bacterial SSU rRNA". It matches the Rfam family "Bacterial small subunit ribosomal RNA", at positions 384 to 1132 of the family's 1533-position model. The record is from RNAcentral. Lineage: Bacteria; Pseudomonadati; Pseudomonadota; Gammaproteobacteria; Moraxellales; Moraxellaceae.
UGAUCCAGCCAUGCCGCGUGUGUGAAGAAGGCCUUUUGGUUGUAAAGCACUUUAAGCAGUGAAGAAGACUCUUCGGUUAAUACCCGGAGACGAUGACAUUAGCUGCAGAAUAAGCACCGGCUAACUCUGUGCCAGCAGCCGCGGUAAUACAGAGGGUGCAAGCGUUAAUCGGAAUUACUGGGCGUAAAGCGAGCGUAGGUGGCUUGAUAAGUCAGAUGUGAAAUCCCCGGGCUUAACCUGGGAACUGCAUCUGAAACUGUUAGGCUAGAGUAGGUGAGAGGGAAGUAGAAUUUCAGGUGUAGCGGUGAAAUGCGUAGAGAUCUGAAGGAAUACCGAUGGCGAAGGCAGCUUCCUGGCAUCAUACUGACACUGAGGCUCGAAAGCGUGGGUAGCAAACAGGAUUAGAUACCCUGGUAGUCCACGCCGUAAACGAUGUCUACUAGUCGUUGGGUCCCUUGAGGACUUAGUGACGCAGCUAACGCAAUAAGUAGACCGCCUGGGGAGUACGGCCGCAAGGUUAAAACUCAAAUGAAUUGACGGGGGCCCGCACAAGCGGUGGAGCAUGUGGUUUAAUUCGAUGCAACGCGAAGAACCUUACCUGGUCUUGACAUAUCUAGAAUCCUGCAGAGAUGCGGGAGUGCCUUCGGGAAUUAGAAUACAGGUGCUGCAUGGCUGUCGUCAGCUCGUGUCGUGAGAUGUUGGGUUAAGUCCCGCAACGAGCGCAACCCUUGUCCUUAGUUACCAGCGGGUUAAGCC